GCUACGCCGACGGCGUUGGCUGCUCGUUCUGGCCCGAUAAUGUUGCCCAGCUCGCAAGAGUCGGUGUCUUGUUGUCGGUAGUUGGUUCGUGGCGGCUAGCGUUUAGUUACGCUAGUG
Molecule: microRNA precursor, 117 nt
Filed under: Caenorhabditis remanei
Lineage: Eukaryota; Metazoa; Nematoda; Chromadorea; Rhabditida; Rhabditidae
Also listed under: 1 other name
Source: RNAcentral